GUCCCUUUACAAUUAAUAAGUAAGGAAGAUAAUGGGUCGGGUUGACACCUGGUUCCUCACUGCUCAUGGGAGGAUCAUUUUUAAAUGGGUACAGGUUGUUCCUAGGAGAAUCGCUUACUUUGUGGGGCCUUCAGAUGCGGUGAUAUUCUUG
Small nuclear RNA from Bombina bombina (fire-bellied toad), 151 nucleotides. RefSeq annotates it as U12 minor spliceosomal RNA. Lineage: Eukaryota; Metazoa; Chordata; Amphibia; Anura; Bombinatoridae. The record is from RefSeq and is a predicted model, not a curated record. The transcript has a single exon.